Molecule: microRNA precursor, 97 nt
Filed under: Anopheles gambiae str. PEST
Lineage: Eukaryota; Metazoa; Arthropoda; Insecta; Diptera; Culicidae
Description: partial AGAP013638-RA
Source: RNAcentral
UGCGUGUUCACCCGUCGGUCGCUGUGCCGAGUGCAAAACGGACGAUGAUGUGGUUACACACACACACAUACACACUCAUGCACCUAUACAGCUACAC